RNAcentral lists this ribosomal RNA (497 nucleotides) under uncultured bacterium. RNAcentral describes it as "partial 16S ribosomal RNA". It matches the Rfam family "Bacterial small subunit ribosomal RNA", at positions 28 to 507 of the family's 1533-position model. The record is from RNAcentral.
GAUGAACGCUGGCGGCGUGCCUAAUACAUGCAAGUCGAGCGAACAGACGAGGAGCUUGCUCCUCUGAUGUUAGCGGCGGACGGGUGAGUAACACGUGGAUAACCUACCUAUAAGACUGGGAUAACUUCGGGAAACCGGAGCUAAUACCGGAUAAUAUAUUGAACCGCAUGGUUCAAUAGUGAAAGACGGUUUUGCUGUCACUUAUAGAUGGAUCCGCGCCGCAUUAGCUAGUUGGUAAGGUAACGGCUUACCAAGGCGACGAUGCGUAGCCGACCUGAGAGGGUGAUCGGCCACACUGGAACUGAGACACGGUCCAGACUCCUACGGGAGGCAGCAGUAGGGAAUCUUCCGCAAUGGGCGAAAGCCUGACGGAGCAACGCCGCGUGAGUGAUGAAGGUCUUCGGAUCGUAAAACUCUGUUAUUAGGGAGGAACAAAUGUGUAAGUAACUAUGCACGUCUUGACGGUACCUGAUCAGAAAGCCACGGCUAACUACGUG